GACGAACGCUGGCGGCGUGCUUAACACAUGCAAGUCGAACGGUAAGGCUCCAGCUUGCUGGGGUACACGAGUGGCGAACGGGUGAGUAACACGUGGGUGACCUGCCCUGCACUUCGGGAUAAGCCUGGGAAACUGGGUCUAAUACCGGAUAGGACCGCACCGUGAGGGUGUGGUGGAAAGUUUUUUCGGUGUGGGAUGGGCCCGCGGCCUAUCAGCUUGUUGGUGGGGUAAUGGCCUACCAAGGCGGCGACGGGUAGCCGGCCUGAGAGGGUGGACGGCCACAUUGGGACUGAGACACGGCCCAGACUCCUACGGGAGGCAGCAGUGGGGAAUGUUGCACAAUGGGCGGAAGCCUGAUGCAGCGACGCCGCGUGGGGGAUGACGGCCUUCGGGUUGUAAACUCCUUUCACCAUCGACGAAGGGUUUCUGACGGUAGAUGGAGAAGAAGCACCGGCUAACUACGUGCCAGCAGCCGCGGUAAUACGUAGGGUGCGAGCGUUGUCCGGAAUUACUGGGCGUAAAGAGCUCGUAGGUGGUUUGUCGCGUCGUCUGUGAAAUUCCGGGGCUUAACUCCGGGCGUGCAGGCGAUACGGGCAUAACUUGAGUACUGUAGGGGAGACUGGAAUUCCUGGUGUAGCGGUGAAAUGCGCAGAUAUCAGGAGGAACACCGGUGGCGAAGGCGGGUCUCUGGGCAGUAACUGACGCUGAGGAGCGAAAGCAUGGGGAGCGAACAGGAUUAGAUACCCUGGUAGUCCAUGCCGUAAACGGUGGGCGCUAGGUGUGGGUUUCCUUCCACGGGAUCCGUGCCGUAGCUAACGCAUUAAGCGCCCCGCCUGGGGAGUACGGCCGCAAGGCUAAAACUCAAAGGAAUUGACGGGGGCCCGCACAAGCGGCGGAGCAUGUGGAUUAAUUCGAUGCAACGCGAAGAACCUUACCUGGGCUUGACAUAUACAGGAUCGCGCCAGAGAUGGUGUUUCCCUUGUGGCUUGUAUACAGGUGGUGCAUGGUUGUCGUCAGCUCGUGUCGUGAGAUGUUGGGUUAAGUCCCGCAACGAGCGCAACCCUUGUCUUAUGUUGCCAGCACGUUGUGGUGGGGACUCGUAAGAAACUGCCGGGGUUAACUCGGAGGAAGAUGGGGAUGACGUCAAAUCAUCAUGCCCCUUAUGUCCAGGGCUUCACACAUGCUACAAUGGUCGGUACAGUGGGUUGCCAGUCCGUGAGGGCGAGCUAAUCCCGCAAAGCCGGUCUCAGUUCGGAUCGGGGUCUGCAACUCGACCCCGUGAAGUCGGAGUCGCUAGUAAUCGCAGAUCAGCAACGCUGCGGUGAAUACGUUCCCGGGCCU
RNAcentral lists this ribosomal RNA (1341 nucleotides) under uncultured bacterium. RNAcentral describes it as "partial 16S ribosomal RNA". It matches the Rfam family "Bacterial small subunit ribosomal RNA", at positions 28 to 1381 of the family's 1533-position model. The record is from RNAcentral.